Molecule: long non-coding RNA, 2074 nt
Filed under: Fragaria vesca (wild strawberry)
Lineage: Eukaryota; Viridiplantae; Streptophyta; Magnoliopsida; Rosales; Rosaceae
Description: long non-coding RNA (FVES_LNC002198)
Source: RNAcentral
UCGUACCAAAUAUCCCUUUAAAGUGUGUUAUUUUCGUUUUAUAUUCGUCCCUUUUCAAAAGAGAAUGCAUUAUUGCUAGAAAUCUCGUUAGCACUAGAUUAAGUUGUGUGGGAAUUUUGAUACUAAUUCUUUGGUGUUGGUGACUAUGAAGUUAACGUUUUCUCUAAAAUUUGAUCUUUUGCUUUGAUGUUGUGGAAUGUUCUUCCCUUCUUUCAAGGUUAAUGACCAAAUUAGCAGCUUUUCUUCUUUCGGCGCUUUGAAACAAAAGCAUCGAUCAACAAAGACAGCAUAUCUGUUAUAAUCUAAUUGUUAAUUUGCUAGACGUGAUGCACUAAAUGAUGUUUAAUUAUAAAGUAAAUGUCUAUUUAGUACUAAUUUUAGAAAGUUUUGGCCCGGUCUAAUGAAAAUAAGAUUUCAUUACCCAUUCAAACUGUUACUUGGUAAAAUACAUUUAUACCCUUAUACUCAUUCUCUCUCUUCUCCUCUCAUUUUCCAUCAAAUCUGUUUCUCUCUCUCUCUUCUUUCCUUUUCGAUAAUAUAUAUAUAUAUAUAUAUAUAUAUCUCUCUCUCUCUCNNNNNNNNNNNNNNNNNNNNUAGUAAACUUCAUUUUUUCGCAUCUAAGUUGAUUUUUCUCCUUUUCAAUGUGAAUUAUGGCAUUGGAGCUACUGUUUUGUAAGUUUACUACCCCCAGUAAAAGUUUACUAGGGGUAGUAAACUUCAUUUUUUCGCAUCUAAGUUGAUUUUUCUCAUUUUCAAUGUGAAUUAUGGCAUUUGGAGCUACUGUUUUGCAAGUUUACUGCCCCAGUAAAAGUUUACUAGGGGUAGUAAACUUUAUUUUUUCGCAUCUAAGUUUAUUUUUUCUCUUUUUUCAAUGUGAAUUAUGGCAUUAGAGCUACUGUUUUGCAAGUUUACUACCCCCAGUAAAAGUUUACUAGGGGUAGUAAACUUCCGGCAAGAUCCGGUGGGUUCUAGUGACAUUUUUUUCAAAAAAAUCCAAUGAGACUCCGGCGUCUCCGGUGAUUUUCCGAUCACCAUCAAUUUUCCGACGACCGGUGACCGGAAUCCGGCGGCCAGUGUCCGGUGACGGGAAUCAGGCAACCGGUGUUCGGCGACCGGAAUCCGGUGACCGACGACCGGCGCUGGUGUCCGGUGUGCUUCCGGGAAAGUCUUCCCUUCUUUUUUUCUUUUUUUCUCUUUAAAUAAAGGUUAAGGGUAAAAAAGUCUUUUAAAAUAUCAUUUUAUUAUAUUUUAAUAAAGAUUUGUGUAUUUAGGCUUAAAAUAAGUACCUUGUAUUCAAAUGGGUUAAUAAAAAAGAUUAUCAUUGAAAUGGGGUUUGACUUUUUCUAUUUUGUGCAAAUGGUAUUUUUCCCUUAAUUAUACGACUAUUCAAGACAUGAUAUCGAUCAUCUUUCAAGCAAUUAAAAAUAAACUUUUCUUUGAUUCCAUGCAUCGAUCGAUCUUCCUGGACCAUCGUCUUUGUAAUUGAUGUGCAAUAUAUACAGAUUGGUCUUUCAAAUGUGACUCGUAAUGGUAGGAUUAGUGUAAUUAACAUGGAACAACAUAAGUGUGUUUGAGGGAUCCGGUCGAAGGUUAAUUUGAUGAUAGCUUCAUAUUCAUGAGCUCGAUCAAAAUCCUAAAUUGAUGAAUAUAUAUAACGGAUGAAAAACAAAUUAGUGGGACUAUGUCGAUACGAUUACGAAUGGGCAAACGAGAUUUAACCACUUCCUAUAUGCAUAUCAAAGCUCUUUAAAUACCAAUCAAAAGCUAAUCAAUAUGCCUAUUUUCUUGAAUCACAAUGAACCUCACAAAUUAGAGUAACGUUAAGUAAACUACCUUUUAGAAUAUCACCUAAAGUCCAUCUUACGUGACAGCUGAUGUGGACUAACCAUGUCAUCAAAUCAUAAUUUCUGUUUUUUUUUAUGUUUCUAUUUUUCUUAAUAACGAUUUUUUUUUUUUUAACUUUUCUUGACUUUAUCAAAUUUUUUAAGUCCUACUUUUUAGAUUGUUGAUCAAAUCUGAUCUUAUUGCGCGAUGAUUUUGAUUCAACAGUCGACGUUGUCGAUCACAUCCAUUC